Choloepus didactylus (southern two-toed sloth) is the source of this 1266-nucleotide long non-coding RNA. RefSeq lists it as uncharacterized. The record is from RefSeq and is a predicted model, not a curated record. Lineage: Eukaryota; Metazoa; Chordata; Mammalia; Pilosa; Megalonychidae. The transcript has 4 exons.
CCUCAUACAGGAAGCACUGCACAAUGACAACCAGCGUGAGGAUGACCGCGUGCAGGCUGAAGAAGACAUCGUUGCUGUCCACGGGGAUCACCCCAUUGGGGUGUUGGAGGAGAAACUGCUCCUGUUUGGAAGGCUGUGGAAGCCCUAACCAUGGUGGACCAUGGUGGGCACAUUCAGACAUUCAACAAAUACUUAUUUGCUGUUGGCCAAGGAAGAGAAUGCUCUUGGAAGAGGACCAGUCUGCAUUUGGAAGAUACCCAUGGACGGUGUCGAGAAGCAUCUGAUUCACCAAACAUCACACUCCAAUGGCCUGUGAAUGAGGUCACAUGGAAGAGAAAUGACGGGGGAUGGAAGCCUCGUCAGUCCAUGGAGGGAGCACAAAGCUCAGACCCGGGGGCAGGCUGAGCCCAAGUUCCAGGAGCUCCAGGAGGCGGCUAGCCACCUUGCCCACUUGCCAGCUCUCUGUGGGACAGUUUUUAGACAGCACCAAAGCCCUUCAACUUCACCGCCGGUCUUCCUAGUGCCAUUAUCUCGGCCUUGGAUCCAAACGCAGACUCCCUGUUGGCAUUUGAGAAUGAUGAUCACUUCCCAGUAGACCACAUCAUUAAAAAGCAGAAAACCGCACUGGUCUUUAGAAAAGCUGGUGCUUUUGGCAGAAGCCAAUCUGUCUCCAGCAGCAGUAAGGGCGUGGCUGGAACUUGUGGCUGCCUGACCCAGGUGAGCUCCCUAGGGAAUUCCCCAGCUUCCCCCUUUCCCUUCCUGACGUUUCAGGCAGCACAGAAAUGGCUGUUGGUAAAGUGUCUGCAUGACCUGGCUUAUGUGUGUGCUGGGAACAGACACCAGGCUGGGGGCCUCUGGUCACUGGGAGAGGUCGACUAAAAAGGGGUGGGUACCUGCACACCUAGUGGGAGGGUAGACUGGGCAUCGCUCUGAGGGUCACCAGUGCCCUCAGGGCUGACUGUGGACAACAGUCCCCCCAAAAUGACUGAACUCCACAAGGCAGAUGACAAGACAGGGGUGUAUGUGUCAUCCAAGACCUGGCCCAACGCAGAGCCUCCCACACAGCGAGGAGGAGACCCCGGGGCACAGGUGAGGCACUCCAUGCCACCUGAUGGGUCCAUCUGACUUUCCCUUUGGUGUGUGGCACUCUGCCCCCCUGGGUUGUGUGCAAGGCCACAGGAAGAACCCUCCCUUUGGGGAGAUGCAUUUGAUGGAGAAGAAAUGCCUAAGAAUUGGUACCUGGCACAGUGGGGUUACUGACCAUCC